ACUGCUCAGUAACACGUGGACAACCUGCCCUUAGGUUGGGUAUAAACCCGGGAAACUGGGUAUAAUACCCGAUAGGUCUCGAUUGCUGGAAUGCAUCGAGAUUUAAAGCUCCGGCGCCUAAGGAUGGGUCUGCGGCCUAUCAGGUAGUAGUGGGUGUAGCGUACCUACUAGCCUACGACGGGUACGGGUUGUGAGAGCAAGAGCCCGGAGAUGGAUUCUGAGACACGAAUCCAGGCCCUACGGGGUGCAGCAGGCGCGAAAACUUUACAAUGCUGGCAACAGCGAUAAGGGAACCUCGAGUGCCAGGUUACAAAUCUGGCUGUCGAGAUGCCUAAAAAGCAUUUCAUAGCAAGGGCCGGGCAAGACCGGUGCCAGCCGCCGCGGUAACACCGGCGGCUCGAGUGGUAACCGUUAUUAUUGGGUCUAAAGGGUCUGUAGCCGGCCGGAUAAGUCUCUUGAGAAAUCUGGCAGCUUAACUGUCAGGCUUUCAGGAGAUACUGUCUGGCUCGAGGCCGGGAGAGGUGAGAGGUACUUCAGGGGUAGGGGUGAAAUCUUGUAAUCCUUGAAGGACCACCAGUGGCGAAGGCGUCUCACCAGAACGGACCUGACGGCAAGGGACGAAAGCUAGGGGCACGAACCGGAUUAGAUACCCGGGUAGUCCUAGCCGUAAACGAUACUCGCUAGGUGUCGGCCACGGUGCGACCGUUGUCGGUGCCGUAGGAAGCCGUGAAGCGAGCCACCUGGGAAGUACGGCCGCAAGGCUGAAACUUAAAGGAAUUGGCGGGGGAGCAC
RNAcentral lists this ribosomal RNA (792 nucleotides) under uncultured archaeon. RNAcentral describes it as "bacterial SSU rRNA". It matches the Rfam family "Archaeal small subunit ribosomal RNA", at positions 85 to 879 of the family's 1478-position model. RNAcentral also lists the same sequence under 1 other name. The record is from RNAcentral.